This is a long non-coding RNA of Daphnia pulicaria, 348 nucleotides long. RefSeq lists it as uncharacterized. NCBI's taxonomy places the organism in Eukaryota, Metazoa, Arthropoda, Branchiopoda, Diplostraca, Daphniidae. The transcript is spliced from 3 exons. The record is from RefSeq and is a predicted model, not a curated record.
CACUGUAGAAGUUGGACUGACGUCCAUUAUCGAUUUCGUCUGUUGCGGUCUGUUGUUUUAUGUUGGUGCUGCGGUGGUGGCUUUUUUUAGUGAAGACUAAACACGAGAUAUAAAUUUGGAGGGGAGACUAGGUUACGAAAAAAUGUGAAAGGUGUAUGAAGACAGUACCGACAACUAUUGUGUUAAAAAUCCUGGUAUCCUACAGAAUAUGUCAUCCAAAUGACAGAGUGGAUUCAUCACUAUUAUCGGCUGAAUCAUUCUAUGGGACUUGCCAGAUCACCAACCCAAGCAUGGACCAAUUUCUCAUUCCAUCUUCUAGAGAACCUUACAUAACCGAUUGGUGGUUUA